RNAcentral lists this ribosomal RNA (326 nucleotides) under uncultured eukaryote. RNAcentral's name for it is "partial 18S ribosomal RNA". It matches the Rfam family "Eukaryotic small subunit ribosomal RNA", at positions 1470 to 1796 of the family's 1831-position model. The record is from RNAcentral.
CCCUUAGAUGUUCUGGGCCGCACGCGCGCUACACUGAUGCAUUCAACGAGCCUAUCCUUGACCGACAGGUCCGGGUAAUCUUUGAAUCUGCAUCGUGACGGGGAUAGAUUAUUGCAAUUAUUAAUCUUCAACGAGGAAUGCCUAGUAGGCGCAAGUCAUCAGCUUGCGUCGAUUACGUCCCUGCCCUUUGUACACACCGCCCGUCGCUCCUACCGAUUGAGCAUCCCGGUGAAGACUCAGGAGAUAUGUACGUGGCUGGUCUCCAGCUGCGUUGCGUGCCGAAGUUGUCUAAACCUUGAUGCUUAGAGGAAGGAGAAGUCGUAACA